This 360-nucleotide long non-coding RNA is filed under the name Heterocephalus glaber (naked mole-rat). RNAcentral's name for it is "lncRNA (ENSHGLG00000032281.1)". Lineage: Eukaryota; Metazoa; Chordata; Mammalia; Rodentia; Bathyergidae. The record is from RNAcentral.
AACCCCUCAGCCUCAAAAACACUCAGCUCAGAAAAGAGCAGAUUCUUUUCUGAGCACUACAAGGAAGAAUUACAAGUCAAAAUACAACCAUUAACUGAGCAUUUCCAAGGUCAUAAACACAAUGGCUGGAGCUUCAACAAUCAUGUGACCACUUGAGGAUGGAAAUCAAUGUUGGGAAUGUUGGAAAAAAAAGGAGGGUGGACUUGAACUGCCUUUGUAGCCCAUGUUGGCCUCAAACUCACGGUGAUCCUCCUGCACCACCACACCUGAUGCUGUGUGCUGAAGCCAUGAUGACCUUUCCCCACCAAGCCCAAUAUCUCCCUUCCCUUCACCCUAUACUUUUUCUCAAGCUCAAAUACA